GCAGUCGAGGGGCAUCAGGAAGAAGCUUGCUUUCUUUGCUGGCGACCGGCGCACGGGUGAGUAACACGUAUCCAACCUGCCCUUUACUCGGGGAUAGCCUUUCGAAAGAAAGAUUAAUACCCGAUAGCAUAAUGAUUCCGCAUGGUUUCAUUAUUAAAGGAUUCCGGUAAAGGAUGGGGAUGCGUUCCAUUAGGUUGUUGGUGAGGUAACGGCUCACCAAGCCUUCGAUGGAUAGGGGUUCUGAGAGGAAGGUCCCCCACAUUGGAACUGAGACACGGUCCAAACUCCUACGGGAGGCAGCAGUGAGGAAUAUUGGUCAAUGGGCGUUAGCCUGAACCAGCCAAGUAGCGUGAAGGAUGAAGGCUCUAUGGGUCGUAAACUUCUUUUAUAUAAGAAUAAAGUGCAGUAUGUAUACUGUUUUGUAUGUAUUAUAUGAAUAAGGAUCGGCUAACUCCGUGCCAGCAGCCGCGGUAAUACGGAGGAUCCGAGCGUUAUCCGGAUUUAUUGGGUUUAAAGGGAGCGUAGGUGGACUGGUAAGUCAGUUGUGAAAGUUUGCGGCUCAACCGUAAAAUUGCAGUUGAUACUGUCAGUCUUGAGUACAGUAGAGGUGGGCGGAAUUCGUGGUGUAGCGGUGAAAUGCUUAGAUAUCACGAAGAACUCCGAUUGCGAAGGCAGCUCACUGGACUGCAACUGACACUGAUGCUCGAAAGUGUGGGUAUCAAACAGGAUUAGAUACCCUGGUAGUCCACACAGUAAACGAUGAAUA
Molecule: ribosomal RNA, 766 nt
Filed under: uncultured bacterium
Lineage: Bacteria
Description: bacterial SSU rRNA
Rfam family: Bacterial small subunit ribosomal RNA
Source: RNAcentral